This 498-nucleotide ribosomal RNA is filed under the name uncultured bacterium. RNAcentral's name for it is "partial 16S ribosomal RNA". It matches the Rfam family "Bacterial small subunit ribosomal RNA", at positions 30 to 523 of the family's 1533-position model. The record is from RNAcentral.
AUUGAACGCUGGCGGCAUGCCUUACACAUGCAAGUCGAACGGUAACAGGUCUUCGGAUGCUGACGAGUGGCGAACGGGUGAGUAAUACAUCGGAACGUGCCUAGUAGUGGGGGAUAACUACUCGAAAGAGUGGCUAAUACCGCAUGAGAUCUACGGAUGAAAGCAGGGGAUCGCAAGACCUUGUGCUACUAGAGCGGCCGAUGGCAGAUUAGGUAGUUGGUGGGAUAAAAGCUUACCAAGCCGACGAUCUGUAGCUGGUCUGAGAGGACGAUCAGCCACGCUGGGACUGAGAAAGGGCCCAGACUCCUGCGGGAGGCAGCAGUGGGGAAUUUUGGACAAUGGGCGCAAGCCUGAUCCAGCAAUGCCGCGUGCAGGAUGAAGGCCUUCGGGUUGUAAACUGCUUUUGUACGGAACGAAAAGCCCCGGGUUAAUACCCUGGGGUCAUGACGGUACCGUAAGAAUAAGCACCGGCUAACUACGUGCCAGCCGCCGCGGUAA